GCUCAUGCCUGCCUUUGUGCUGUAGGGGGAGUUCUCGCGCAAUUCUUUCCAGUCGUGAUGAAGCCAUCAGUGGAGGAACGCUUGUGUUGAGUCACAAUUAUUGUUUCGUCCCCCUAUUCAGAAUGCAGCAGCUCGUCUACUCACGUCACCCCCCCGCUUACUUCCCUCCACUGGCUGCCUGUCAUGGCUCGCAUCAAAUUCAAAACAUUGGUGCUCGCUGACCUUACCUACAAAAAAUCAUCAGACCUACACCCCUGCCAGACCUCUUCGUUCAGCCUCCACAGGCCGCUUGGCACCUCCACCUCACGCUCACGACUACUGUCUGUUCUGGCUCUGCGGUUGUGGAACUCCCCGUUGAGAUUCAGCUGGAAUCCGUGACCUGAACGAAUCCAUCUUUCAGAACGCCAAAGGCCAGACAGUUGUCGGGUGCAGUGCCAAAGUAUACAUUAUACAAGCAGUUCAAAAACCAGGGGCGAGCGCCUCCAUCAAAGCUGCAAAGGCAGCCCAGGCAGGUGCAGAUCUACAGAAAGACCUUUACGUCUUUUGAGACUCUCAGGGGUAAACUGAAAGAACGUGGUAUAAACUUGCUCAGAGAUGUGAUGCAGAACAAAAGGUCUAACCGGGGAGAACACAUUUUCAACAAUGCUCUGCUUGGGUUCUAUGGGUCGAUAAUUGAUUUGUUCAUUGAAAGGCACGUCACAAACGGUAACAGAGUGACGUUGGUCGACCGUAUCCCAAACAGCAGUGUUAGUGACGCCUUCCAAGGGAACGCCCCAGAUGGCGAACACAUCAACUUGACAGCUGAUCAGAGACGAAAUAUUAGAACCUGGGUAGUUCACAUUCCGGACAAUGUGGUAUAUAUCCCAAUCAACAUCCUGUUUCCUACAUGAUAGAGAUCAUUAGGCUCAAUGCUGUUGACUACAUGCAUUUAUUUAGUCAAAAUAAUGAGAAUGUGUUGAGUAUUCUCGCUCAAUCAGUAGAAUGGAUGAAUAUGCAUCGCGUUUAUCUGGACCCACAGGCUGCGGAAAUUUGUUUUUUUGAAAAUCCAGGUCUUAUUCCUCUUUCAUAUAACUGGAUACGGGGUGCAACGUAUGCUUAGGGACCUGGAUCCCUACAGGUCAGGCAAGUUGCGUGAUUUUGU
Long non-coding RNA from Conger conger (European conger), 1141 nucleotides. RefSeq lists it as uncharacterized. The transcript is spliced from 3 exons. The record is from RefSeq and is a predicted model, not a curated record. NCBI's taxonomy places the organism in Eukaryota, Metazoa, Chordata, Actinopteri, Anguilliformes, Congridae.